AGGGAAACCGAGUCUUAACUGGGCGUUAAGUUGCAGGGUAUAGACCCGAAACCCGGUGAUCUAGCCAUGGGCAGGUUGAAGGUUGGGUAACACUAACUGGAGGACCGAACCGACUAAUGUUGAAAAAUUAGCGGAUGACUUGUGGCUGGGGGUGAAAGGCCAAUCAAACCGGGAGAUAGCUGGUUCUCCCCGAAAGCUAUUUAGGUAGCGCCUCGUGAACUCAUCUUCGGGGGUAGAGCACUGUUUCGGCUAGGGGGUCAUCCCGACUUACCAACCCGAUGCAAACUGCGAAUACCGAAGAAUGUUAUCACGGGAGACACACGGCGGGUGCUAACGUCCGUCGUGAAGAGGGAAACAACCCAGACCGCCAGCUAAGGUCCCAAAGUCACAGUUAAGUGGGAAACGAUGUGGGAAGGCUCAGACAGCCAGGAUGUUGGCUUAGAAGCAGCCAUCAUUUAAAGAAAGCGUAAUAGCUCACUGGUCGAGUCGGCCUGCGCGGAAGAUGUAACGGGGCUAAACUGUGCACCGAAGCUGCGGCAGCGACGCUUAUGCGUUGUUGGGUAGGGGAGCGUUCUGUAAGCCUGCGAAGGUGUCCUGUGAGGGAUGCUGGAGGUAUCAGAAGUGCGAAUGCUGACAUAAGUAACGAUAAUGCGGGUGAAAAGCCCGCUCGCCGGAAGACCAAGGGUUCCUGUCCAACGUUAAUCGGGGCAGGGUGAGUCGACCCCUAAGGCGAGGCCGAAAGGCGUAGUCGAUGGGAAACGGGUUAAUAUUCCCGUACUUGGUGUUACUGCGAAGGGGGGACGGAGAAGGCUAUGUUGGCCGGGCGACGGUUGUCCCGGUUUAAGCGUGUAGGCUGGUUUUCCAGGCAAAUCCGGAAAAU
Molecule: ribosomal RNA, 880 nt
Filed under: Salmonella enterica subsp. enterica serovar Kentucky
Lineage: Bacteria; Pseudomonadati; Pseudomonadota; Gammaproteobacteria; Enterobacterales; Enterobacteriaceae
Description: partial 23S ribosomal RNA
Rfam family: Bacterial large subunit ribosomal RNA
Source: RNAcentral